CCUACGGGCGGCAGCAGUGGGGAAUUUUGCGCAAUGGGGGAAACCCUGACGCAGCAACGCCGCGUGCGGGACGAAGGCCCUCGGGCUGUAAACCGCUUUCAGCAGGGAAGACGUCGACGGUACCUGCAGAAGAAGCUCCGGCUAACUCCGUGCCAGCAGCCGCGGUAAUACGGAGGAUGCGAGCGUUAUCCGGAUUUAUUGGGUUUAAAGGGUGCGCAGGCGGAGGCACAAGUCAGCGGUAAAAUCGCGGGGCUCAACCCCGCUCCGCCGUUGAAACUGUGUCCCUUGAGUGCGCGAAGGGUAGGCGGAAUGCGUGGUGUAGCGGUGAAAUGCAUAGAGAUCACGCAGAACUCCGAUCGCGAAGGCAGCCUACCGGCGCGCAACUGACGCUCAUGCACGAAAGCGUGGGUAUCGAACAGGAUUAGAUACCCGUGUAGUC
This 439-nucleotide ribosomal RNA is filed under the name uncultured bacterium. RNAcentral describes it as "partial 16S ribosomal RNA". It matches the Rfam family "Bacterial small subunit ribosomal RNA", at positions 338 to 795 of the family's 1533-position model. The record is from RNAcentral.